RNAcentral lists this ribosomal RNA (305 nucleotides) under uncultured bacterium. RNAcentral's name for it is "bacterial SSU rRNA". It matches the Rfam family "Bacterial small subunit ribosomal RNA", at positions 333 to 655 of the family's 1533-position model. The record is from RNAcentral.
GUGUGCCUACGGGGCGCAGCAGUGGGGAAUAUUGCACAAUGGGGGAAACCCUGAUGCAGCGACGCCGCGUGAAGGAUGAAGUAUUUCGGUAUGUAAACUUCUAUCAGCAGGGAAGAAAGUGACGGUACCUGACUAAGAAGCCCCGGCUAACUACGUGCCAGCAGCCGCGGUAAUACGUAGGGGGCAAGCGUUAUCCGGAUUUACUGGGUGUAAAGGGAGCGUGGACGGUAUGGCAAGUCUGAUGUGAAAACCCGGGGCUCAACCCCGGGACUGCAUUGGAAACUGUCGGACUAGAGUGUCGGAGG